This 291-nucleotide ribosomal RNA is filed under the name Asterarcys sp. GA4. RNAcentral describes it as "partial large subunit ribosomal RNA". The record is from RNAcentral. Lineage: Eukaryota; Viridiplantae; Chlorophyta; Chlorophyceae; Sphaeropleales; Scenedesmaceae.
UGUGUAGGAUAGGUGGGAGGCUUUGAAGAUGGGCGCCAGCUUGUGUGGAGCCGCCUUGAAAUACCACCCUGGGAACUUUCUGACGUCUAACCGAACCCCGUCACCCGGGGUCCGGGCCCUGUUUGGGGGGGMAGUUUACUUGGGGGGACUGCCUCCUAAAGGGUACCGGAGGCGCGCGAUGGUUGCGCUCAAGCCGGUCGGACAUCGGACACGAGUGCAAAGGCAWAAGCCAGCCUGACUGCGAGACCGACAAGUCGAGCAGAGRCGAAAGUCGGCCUUAGUGAUCCGGUG